AUCUAUGGCUAUCCCACCCUGAAAGUACUGAUCUUUUCUAAUCUCAGAGGCCAAGCAGGGUUGGCCCUGGUUAGUACUUGAAUGGAAGACCACCUGGGAAUUCUGGGGGCUGUAGGCU
Ribosomal RNA from Otolemur garnettii (small-eared galago), 118 nucleotides. Lineage: Eukaryota; Metazoa; Chordata; Mammalia; Primates; Galagidae. The record is from Ensembl.